AUCUGCUCAGGAUGAACGCUGGCGGCGUGCCUAACACAUGCAAGUCGAACGGAGCUGCUUUGAUGAAGUUUUCGGAUGGAUUUAAAACAGCUUAGUGGCGGACGGGUGAGUAACGCGUGGGUAACCUGCCUCACACUGGGGGAUAACAGUUAGAAAUAGCUGCUAAUACCGCAUAAGCGCACGGUUCCGCAUGGAACAGUGUGAAAAACUCCGGUGGUGUGAGAUGGACCCGCGUCUGAUUAG
Molecule: ribosomal RNA, 243 nt
Filed under: uncultured bacterium
Lineage: Bacteria
Description: partial 16S ribosomal RNA
Rfam family: Bacterial small subunit ribosomal RNA
Source: RNAcentral